GAUUUUGUUAAAAAGAUGAAAUGUGUCUCGUCGUAUGUGUUCUGUUGACUGCAAACAAAAUCAUGGACUACAGGGAGGGAGAUACAACAAUGGUCUUGAGAACAACAGGAAGUGUGUUGGUGGUCUUUCUUUGGUCUUUGACAGGUGUUGCAGUGGUACUGGGUCAGAGUGUGAAGUACACCUCCCAGAAGAUCUGUGCCUUGAAGGGGUCAACCGUGGACAUGUCUUGCUCUUACACAAAUCCCAGGGGUUACACAAUCA
Esox lucius (northern pike) is the source of this 261-nucleotide long non-coding RNA. RefSeq lists it as uncharacterized. The transcript is spliced from 3 exons. Lineage: Eukaryota; Metazoa; Chordata; Actinopteri; Esociformes; Esocidae. The record is from RefSeq and is a predicted model, not a curated record.